RNAcentral lists this ribosomal RNA (420 nucleotides) under uncultured bacterium. RNAcentral describes it as "bacterial SSU rRNA". It matches the Rfam family "Bacterial small subunit ribosomal RNA", at positions 31 to 496 of the family's 1533-position model. The record is from RNAcentral.
GUACGCUGGCGGCACGCCUAACACAUGCAAGUCGAACGAAGUAGCAAUACUUAGUGGCAGACGGGUGAGUAACAUGUGGGUAUCUGCCCUUUGGCCUGGAAUAACACGAGGAAACUUGUGCUAAUACUGGAUAAGUCUUUACGGAGAAAGCUUUAUGCACCAUUGGAUGAGCCUGCACUUGAUUAGUUUGUUGGUGGGGUAAUGGCCUACCAAGACUGUGAUCAAUAGCUGAUUUGAGAGGAUGAUCAGCCACAUUGGGACUGAGACACGGCCCAAACUCCUACGGGAGGCAGCAGUGGGGAAUCUUGCACAAUGGAGGAAACUCUGAUGCAGCGAUGCCGCGUGAGUGAAGAAGGCCUUUGGGUUGUAAAGCUCUUUCGUCGGGGAAGAAAAUGACUGUACCCGAAUAAGAAGGUCCGG